This 553-nucleotide ribosomal RNA is filed under the name uncultured bacterium. RNAcentral's name for it is "partial 16S ribosomal RNA". It matches the Rfam family "Bacterial small subunit ribosomal RNA", at positions 355 to 902 of the family's 1533-position model. The record is from RNAcentral.
UGGGGAAUUUUGGACAAUGGGCGAAAGCCUGAUCCAGCAAUGCCGCGUGUGUGAAGAAGGCCUUCGGGUUGUAAAGCACUUUUGUCCGGAAAGAAAUCCUUGGCUCUAAUACAGUCGGGGGAUGACGGUACCGGAAGAAUAAGCACCGGCUAACUACGUGCCAGCAGCCGCGGUAAUACGUAGGGUGCAAGCGUUAAUCGGAAUUACUGGGCGUAAAGCGUGCGCAGGCGGUUUGCUAAGACCGAUGUGAAAUCCCCGGGCUCAACCUGGGAACUGCAUUGGUGACUGGCAGGCUAGAGUAUGGCAGAGGGGGGUAGAAUUCCACGUGUAGCAGUGAAAUGCGUAGAGAUGUGGAGGAAUACCGAUGGCGAAGGCAGCCCCCUGGGCCAAUACUGACGCUCAUGCACGAAAGCGUGGGGAGCAAACAGGAUUAGAUACCCUGGUAGUCCACGCCCUAAACGAUGUCAACUAGUUGUUGGGGAUUCAUUCCUUAGUAACGUAGCUAACGCGUGAAGUUGACCGCCUGGGGAGUACGGUCGCAAGAUUAAAACUU